Molecule: unclassified non-coding RNA, 592 nt
Filed under: Hevea brasiliensis (rubber tree)
Lineage: Eukaryota; Viridiplantae; Streptophyta; Magnoliopsida; Malpighiales; Euphorbiaceae
Source: RNAcentral
GGAGGUUAUGGUGAUGGUAGUGGUGGAUAUGGUUCCGGAGGCAACUAUUCGAGCAGUUUUGGCGGUGGUAGCCAAGGAAAUUAUAGUAACGAUUUUGCCAGUGCCAACCGUGGAAGUGUUGCAGGUGGUGGUGGCUUUGGUGGGAAUGAUGCUGGUGGCUACAACGCUGCUAGCAAUUUUGCUACUGGAAACACAUAUGACAGUGGAACUAAUGCUGGUUUUGGUAACGUCAGUGGCGGCGGUGGCGACUAUUUUGCCAACAGUGGGUCCGAUGCAAGCUCUGGGUUUGGAGGAUACACUGGCGGGGAACAAUUUGGCAGCAACGAAACAAACACCAUGGAUGCAUCUGGAGAUCAAGGCCAGGAGGAGCCACUGGAAGGAAAUGAUAGGGACGAAGACGACGCAGAUGACUUUGCUAAAAGAGCCUGAUAAAUUAUAUGCAUUAUCCAUAGUUAACUUCGUCCAGCAUUUUUUUGUUAUGGCCAUGUAGUUUUCCCCUACAUUCUAUACUGAACUUCGUCUUUGUUUGUAUGUUGGACUUGCUUCAAUGGCUGUGAAUUUUUCUAUGCACUAUCAAUCUAGUUUCUUAAUG